CUUAGCGUCAGUUAUGUUCCAGGAGAUCGCCUUCGCUUUAGGUAUUCCUAGUGAUAUCUACGGAUUUUACCCCUACACCACUAAUUCCAUCUCCCCCUCCCAUACUCUAGUCUAGCAGUUUCAAAUGCAGUUCAAUGGUUGAGCCAUUGGAUUUCACAUC
Molecule: ribosomal RNA, 160 nt
Filed under: uncultured Campylobacterota bacterium
Lineage: Bacteria; Pseudomonadati; Campylobacterota
Description: uncultured Epsilonproteobacteria bacterium partial 16S ribosomal RNA
Source: RNAcentral